This is an RNA transcript of Branchiostoma belcheri (Belcher's lancelet), 821 nucleotides long. It is a transcript of the gene named COX assembly mitochondrial protein 2 homolog, with no coding region annotated. NCBI's taxonomy places the organism in Eukaryota, Metazoa, Chordata, Leptocardii, Amphioxiformes, Branchiostomatidae. The record is from RefSeq and is a predicted model, not a curated record. The transcript has 4 exons.
AGGAUUUCUGUAAUCUUUCCCAUGAUGCUCCUGAAUCCGGAAGUUAGGUAACUGAUCGACCUGAGCGUCAGUGACAACAUGCACGGUGACCUUUCCACCCAUCUGCACACUGAAGAGUGCAACCAGCUUAUCCAAGCCCUGCAGAAGUGUCACAUAGAAAACCCAUUUGGAAGAUUCUUGGGAAAGUGCAAUGAGCAGAAUGCCCUGAUGGACAGAUGUCUUGCACAAGAGAGACAAGAAAACAGAAGGAAAAACAGAGAAAAGGCUCAGGAGAAGAAGAAGAAAUUGCAAGAGGCACUACAAGUACAAAGAAAAAAGGCUGAAGAGAAUGCUAGAUAAUCAAUAAUUUAAUUAUGAUGAGAAAUAUACAUUUUAGUGCAUAACACUAACAUUUAACAGCUUCAUGGUGCAUGAUCAAUGAAAAACUUAAUGGUCAUAGAUUUAAACUUUUUCAGUACAUGUUCAACUGAAAGUAGGAUGUCAUUUUAACAUAUAACUACUCAGGGUUCAAAAUACUGUUCGGCAUCAACUUGUACAAUAAAAAGUAUUUCUAUGUUUUGAAAUUGAAAUACUCAUAGUAAAAAUAAUGAUGCAAUGUGUUUUUGUAUUAUAAACAUCAACACAUGUAUUAGACAGAAUUUGAAUAUACUCUCAAGACAUUACUGUAUACAUAUGGCAUCAUUCAAGCUUGUUGACUCCUUCAAUGCUGCAUGUUGACUCCUAACUUUAUCCUUAACUGCCCAUUCUAAAUAUAAUCCUGUUGAUAAGUUACAUGUUCUUUUUCAAAACAACAAUGGAAUUGUAACUAUUGUAGUUCUAAA